GAUGAACGCUGGCGGCGUGCCUAAUACAUGCAAGUCGAGCGAACGGACGAGAAGCUUGCUUCUCUGAUGUUAGCGGCGGACGGGUGAGUAACACGUGGAUAACCUACCUAUAAGACUGGGAUAACUUCGGGAAACCGGAGCUAAUACCGGAUAAUAUUUUGAACCGCAUGGUUCAAAAGUGAAAGACGGUCUUGCUGUCACUUAUAGAUGGAUCCGCGCUGCAUUAGCUAGUUGGUAAGGUAACGGCUUACCAAGGCAACAAUGCAUAGCCGACCUGAGAGGGUGAUCGGCCACACUGGAACUGAGACACGGUCCAGACUCCUACGGGAGGCAGCAGUAGGGAAUCUUCCGCAAUGGGCGAAAGCCUGACGGAGCAACGCCGCGUGAGUGAUGAAGGUCUUCGGAUCGUAAAACUCUGUUAUUAGGGAAGAACAUAUGUGUAAGUAACUGUGCACAUCUUGACGGUACCUAAUCAGAAAGCCACGGCUAACUACGUGCCAGCAGCCGCGGUAAUACGUAGGUGGCAAGCGUUAUCCGGAAUUAUUGGGCGUAAAGCGCGCGUAGGCGGUUUUUUAAGUCUGAUGUGAAAGCCCACGGCUCAACCGUGGAGGGUCAUUGGAAACUGGAAAACUUGAGUGCAGAAGAGGAAAGUGGAAUUCCAUGUGUAGCGGUGAAAUGCGCAGAGAUAUGGAGGAACACCAGUGGCGAAGGCGACUUUCUGGUCUGUAACUGACGCUGAUGUGCGAAAGCGUGGGGAUCAAACAGGAUUAGAUACCCUGGUAGUCCACGCCGUAAACGAUGAGUGCUAAGUGUUAGGGGGUUUCCGCCCCUUAGUGCUGCAGCUAACGCAUUAAGCACUCCGCCUGGGGAGUACGACCGCAAGGUUGAAACUCAAAGGAAUUGACGGGGACCCGCACAAGCGGUGGAGCAUGUGGUUUAAUUCGAAGCAACGCGAAGAACCUUACCAAAUCUUGACAUCCUUUGACAACUCUAGAGAUAGAGCCUUCCCCUUCGGGGGACAAAGUGACAGGUGGUGCAUGGUUGUCGUCAGCUCGUGUCGUGAGAUGUUGGGUUAAGUCCCGCAACGAGCGCAACCCUUAAGCUUAGUUGCCAUCAUUAAGUUGGGCACUCUAAGUUGACUGCCGGUGACAAACCGGAGGAAGGUGGGGAUGACGUCAAAUCAUCAUGCCCCUUAUGAUUUGGGCUACACACGUGCUACAAUGGACAAUACAAAGGGCAGCGAAACCGCGAGGUCAAGCAAAUCCCAUAAAGUUGUUCUCAGUUCGGAUUGUAGUCUGCAACUCGACUACAUGAAGCUGGAAUCGCUAGUAAUCGUAGAUCAGCAUGCUACGGUGAAUACGUUCCCGGGUCU
This 1372-nucleotide ribosomal RNA is filed under the name uncultured bacterium. RNAcentral's name for it is "bacterial SSU rRNA". It matches the Rfam family "Bacterial small subunit ribosomal RNA", at positions 28 to 1381 of the family's 1533-position model. The record is from RNAcentral.